Molecule: ribosomal RNA, 305 nt
Filed under: uncultured bacterium
Lineage: Bacteria
Description: bacterial SSU rRNA
Rfam family: Bacterial small subunit ribosomal RNA
Source: RNAcentral
GGUCCUACGGGGGGCAGCAGUGGGGAAUAUUGGGCAAUGGGCGCAAGCCUGACCCAGCAAUGCCGCGUGAAGGAAGAAGGCCCUCGGGUUGUAAACUUCUUUUAUCAGGGACGAAGGAUGUGACGGUACCUGAUGAAUAAGCCACGGCUAACUACGUGCCAGCAGCCGCGGCAAUACGUAGGUGGCAAGCGUUGUCCGGAUUUACUGGGUGUAAAGGGCGUGUAGCCGGGUUGACAAGUCAGAUGUGAAAUCCUGCGGCUUAACCGCAGAACUGCAUUUGAAACUGUUGAUCUUGAGUACUGGAG